Molecule: long non-coding RNA, 457 nt
Filed under: Vitis vinifera (wine grape)
Lineage: Eukaryota; Viridiplantae; Streptophyta; Magnoliopsida; Vitales; Vitaceae
Description: long non-coding RNA (VVIN_LNC004012)
Source: RNAcentral
GCUCCCCAAUCUCUCCCUCCACCCCAUCCAACCAUGGAAGCCACCCUCUUCUCCUUCCCCUCCACCAAGCCCCCUCCCCCCAAAACCUUAACGCUAACCCAAUCUAAAACCCUGACCUUAACUUAUCCUAAAUCGCUAAACCCCUACAGAAGAACCUCCUAUUCCACCACAAUCCGCUCCGCCAUCAGCCGCACCAAGAAGGAAGAAACAGUCCAAACCGUGAAAGAACAGCUCGAGAACUGCCACCUCCUUGCCGCCAUCAAGUACAACGGCUUCACCGUCCAGCAGUUCCAGGAGCUCCGGCGGUCUCUGCCGGAGAAAUCCAAGCUCAUCGUUGCCAAGAACACCCUCGUCUACAAAGCCAUCGAAGGCACCUCUUGGGCGGCUCUGGAGCCGUGUAUGAAAGGCAUGAACGUCUUCCUCUUCGUCCACAGCGAGGAAAUUCCGGCUGCCAUCA